AGUCAGACCCAGUCAGGACACAGCAUGGACAUGAGGGUUCCUGCUCAGCUCCUGGGGCUCCUGCUGCUCUGGCUCCCAGGUUCCAGAUGUGACAUCCAGAUGACCCAGUCUCCAUCUUCCUUGUCUGCAUCUGUAGGAGACAGAGUCACCAUCACUUGUCGGGCGAGUCAAGGCAUUAGCAAUUAUUUAAACUGGUAUCAGCAGAAACCAGGGAAAGCUCCUAAACUCCUGAUCUAUGAUGCAUCCAGUUUGCAAAGUGGGGUCCCAUCAAGGUUCAGCGGCAGUGGAUCUGGGACAGAAUUCACUCUCACCAUCAGCAGCCUGCAGCCUGAAGAUUUUGCAACUUAUUACUGUCAACAGUAUAAGAGUUACCCUCCCACAGUGUUACACACCCGAACAUAA
Molecule: non-coding RNA, 402 nt
Organism: Nomascus leucogenys (northern white-cheeked gibbon)
Lineage: Eukaryota; Metazoa; Chordata; Mammalia; Primates; Hylobatidae
Source: the annotation of a RefSeq genome assembly